This 534-nucleotide long non-coding RNA is filed under the name Sus scrofa (pig). RNAcentral describes it as "lncRNA (ENSSSCG00025021150.1, ENSSSCG00045026527.1, ENSSSCG00065026914.1)". The record is from RNAcentral. Lineage: Eukaryota; Metazoa; Chordata; Mammalia; Artiodactyla; Suidae.
GGUGGACGUCACAUGUGCAGCUCAGCUGUUGUGCUGAGAAUUGCUGACACGAGCAGUUCCAACCAGGAAAGCAGAGCUGCUUCCCACGGACAGAUUUUGGGGGAGAGAUCAGAGACAUACAGACUGUACUUCCUUCUGCGACACAGAAUUCGCACCUACUUGCUGAAUGGAAAACUUCCGUACAGCCAUGGUCUCCAACUUCAAAAUUGAGGGACUACAUUUAAUUCGCGCAACUAUUCCCAACAGCCAAGACAUGGAAACACCCUAAAUGUCCAUCAACAGAGGAGUGGAUCAAGAAGAUGCAGUAUAUGUCUACAAUGGAAUAUUACUCAGCCGUAAAAAAGAAUGAAAUAAUGCCACUUGCAGCCGCAUGAAUGGGCCUAGAGAUUAUCAUACUCACUGAAGUUAAUCAGACAGUGAAAGACAAAUACCAUACACUAUCACGUCUAUGUGGAAUCUAAAAUAUGAUGCAAAUGAUCCUGUCUACAGAACAGAAACAGACUCACAGACAUAGAGAACAGGCUUGUGGUCGCC